Molecule: non-coding RNA, 75 nt
Organism: Rhamnusium bicolor
Lineage: Eukaryota; Metazoa; Arthropoda; Insecta; Coleoptera; Cerambycidae
Source: the annotation of a GenBank genome assembly
GGCUUCGUGGUCAAAUGGUGAGGAUACGUGACUCUCACCCUAGAGUCCCAGGUUCGAUCUCCGGGCGAGGAGCUA